UAUUUUAGUGCAGACGGGUUCCAGACUGUUGUUUGGUGAUCAUAAUUUACUGGCGGCCGGUUGGAAAUUGUACUAUGUGACGCAAAAGCAGACAAAUGGCUGUGGUGGCCAUCAACUUGGAUUUUGAUUCCCUUACCAAUGCUGAACUUUAAAAUUGUGAUAAAGUGAAAGAUUGUUUUUUGUUCUGUUUUUUCCAUCAAUCUUCUACAGAGGCGAUUCAAUAUUCUUAUAAACCUACAAACCCGCUUAUAAGUUGGUCGAAUGUAGUUCUUCUAUUCGAUAAACCAUGGAGAGAGGUGAUUCAAUUCAUAGCCAGGGACAUGAGAAUGAUAUGUCAGACCCACUUCUCACCGAGGAUGAAACAGUUGUACUUGAAGCUGAGCAUGAUGAAGUGAAGUGCAGUGGAGCUCUAGCAUGGGAGGAAGUAAAGAAACAAUGCUGGAUAGCAGGGCCCAUGGUGUCUGUAAAUUUGUUACAAUUUAGCUUGCAGGUGAUGUCUAUUAUGGUGGUGGGGCAUUUAGGGGAGCUUGCUCUCUCUAGUGCAUCUAUUGCUACUUCCUUUGCAAAUUUCUCCGGCUUCAGUGUGAUGAUUGGAAUGGGAAGUGCAUUGGAAACACUAUGUGGACAGGCCUAUGGGGCAAAGCAAUACCAUCAGCUUGGGAUUCACGUGCAGAGGGCAUUUUUUGCUCUUGUUUGUGUGAGCAUACCACUUGCUGUGGUGUGGGCAUACAUGGGCAAUAUUCUAAUUGUAUUUGGGCAAGACCCUUUGAUAUCCUUUGAAGCAGGGCAAUAUGCCAGAUGGAUGAUUCCCAGUCUGUUUAGUUAUGCAGCUUUACAACCCCUUGUAAGAUUUCUCCAGUCACAAAGCAUUGGUAUUCCCAUGAUGCUAUGCUCUGCAAUUACUUUGUGUCUCCAUGUUCCCAUUUGCUGGGUUCUGGUAUUUAAAAGUGGAUUAGGAAAUAAAGGAGCUGCCUUGGCAAACAGCAUUUCCAACUGGGUCAAUGUGAUACUUCUUUUACUGUAUAUUAAAAUAUCACCUGCAUGCAAGAGGACAUGGAUAUCCUUUACAAGCGAGGCAUUGCAUGAUAUUAAACAUUUUCUCAAGCUUGCCAUUCCAUCUUCAUUCAUGAUCUGCUUCCAGUGGUGGUCCUUUGAAAUACUUAUUCUCUUGUCAGGUCUGUUGCCCAAUCCAAAACUUGAGACAUCAGUUCUUUCAAUCUGCCUUAACACUAAUUCUCUAGCAUCUAUGAUUCCCCUUGGUUUUAGUGCUGCUGUAAGUACACGAGUUUCAAAUGAACUGGGAGCUGGACGCUCACAAGCUGCCCGCUUAGCAGUGUAUGUAGUGUUCUUUCUAUCAAUCAUGGAGGCAGUCAUGAUAGUAUGUCUUUUAUUCUCUAUACAAAAUGUUUGGGGUCAUGCUUACAGCAAUGACAAGGAGGUCAUUGAUUAUGUUGCAAGCAUGAUCCCAUUGCUAGCAGCCUCAACAUUUUUGGAUGCAAUCCAAUGCAUGAUUUCAGGUACUGCUAGAGGAUGUGGGUGGCAAAAAGUAGGUGCUUAUGUUAAUCUUGGUGCAUACUACAUGGUUGGCAUUCCUGUAGCUGUCCUCUUGGCCUUUGUACUGCAUAUUGGUGGGAAGGAUAUGCACAAUAUAGUCAUAAUAUCUUCCUCACAACCUCCUGAACUGCAUUCUUUUUACUGGAGUGUGUUUGGAAGGUAGAGAGAGGGAGGACGUGUAGAGAAGCAAUGAAGAAAAUGGUGUGAGAAAGAAGAGUAUGGAGUGUGGGUGGGAAGGGUAUGCAGUCAAGAUGCAACAUGUUACACCAUCUACAACAAGAGGAAGUGAACCUUGUGCGUAUGUGAUAGAGCUGCCUUCUCUAUUGGAGGCCUGCAAUGGCUGUGACAUCCUAAUCCACGCAGCAGCCCUUGUAUACCCUUGGCUUCCUGACCCCUCCAAUUUUAUAACUGCAAGAAAUGCAAGAGAGAGAGUACAUGCAUCAUCAUUACCCAUAGUUACUGAUGAUAUAAUAAAGGUAUGAACUUUUUAUUCUGCUUUUAAAAGAAGGCUCUAUUUUGGUGAAAUUCCUAUUAAGUUAAGAAUGAAAAACUGUUUGAGAUAAAAGACAUGGAAAAAAGCAUCUAAAGAAAAAUGCUUUGACAUUAUAUUGGGAAAAUCAAUGGAUGCAUUCUCAUGGAAUAUCCUUAACUUAUUGUCACGAACGUUUUUCAUCAAAGAGGAUGAUAAUAAUAAGUAUCAACCUUGAUGCUGAUAAGUUUUGUAACCAGUUUUCAAGCUCUUGAAGCACAAAGUUGAUUUUUGGCUGCCUUCAGCUCUAUAAUGUAUCAGGGUACUCCAGCUGUAAAGACAAUACCAUUAUUAAAUGAAUAUUUCCCUUAAUUUAUUCAAUAAGCUUGAUAAAGUUGGAAAGAGCGGCUUCAUUGUUGGAGAUUGGUGUUAAGAAAAACCGUGCGUCUGCUUGUUAAAUUCUGAUCCAAUUCAAAUCAAUGUUC
Cryptomeria japonica (Japanese cedar) is the source of this 2508-nucleotide RNA transcript. It is a transcript of the gene named protein DETOXIFICATION 16, with no coding region annotated. The transcript is spliced from 8 exons. Lineage: Eukaryota; Viridiplantae; Streptophyta; Pinopsida; Cupressales; Cupressaceae. The record is from RefSeq and is a predicted model, not a curated record.